RNAcentral lists this ribosomal RNA (21 nucleotides) under uncultured Tomentella. RNAcentral describes it as "partial 28S ribosomal RNA". Lineage: Eukaryota; Fungi; Basidiomycota; Agaricomycetes; Thelephorales; Thelephoraceae. The record is from RNAcentral.
GUUCGAUCUCAAAUUCAGGUA